CACCACUCAAGCCCAGCUUGGUGUUGGGGCACCCGGCCGCCCAGCGGUUCGGGGCCCCCAAGUCCAUCGGCGGGCUCGUCGGGACCCUGAGCGCAGUAACACGCGGUAAAACGCGCCCUCGCUCGGAGGCUCCAAGCGGGUUCUUGCCGUUAAACCCCCUAAUUUUCUUA
Molecule: unclassified non-coding RNA, 170 nt
Filed under: Gaeumannomycella caricis
Lineage: Eukaryota; Fungi; Ascomycota; Sordariomycetes; Magnaporthales; Magnaporthaceae
Description: partial internal transcribed spacer 2
Source: RNAcentral